CCUACGGGAGGCAGCAGUGGGGAAUCUUGCGCAAUGGGCGAAAGCCUGACGCAGCCAUGCCGCGUGAAUGAUGAAGGUCUUAGGAUUGCAAAAUUCUUUCACCGGGGACGAUAAUGACGGUACCCGGAGAAGAAGCCCCGGCUAACUUCGUGCCAGCAGCCGCGGUAAUACGAAGGGGGCUAGCGUUGCUCGGAAUUACUGGGCGUAAAGGGAGCGUAGGCGGACAUUUAAGUCAGGGGUGAAAUCCCAGAGCUCAACUCUGGAACUGCCUUUGAUACUGGGUGUCUUGAGUGUGAUAGAGGUAUGUGGAACUCCGAGUGUAGAGGUGAAAUUCGUAGAUAUUCGGAAGAACACCAGUGGCGAAGGCGGCAUACUGGAUCAUUACUGACGCUGAGGCUCGAAAGCGUGGGGAGCAAACAGGAUUAGAUACCCUGGUAGUCCACGCCGUAAACGAUGAUUGCUAGUUGUUGGGAUGUUUACAUCUCGGUGACGCAGCUAACGCAUUAAGCAAUCCGCCUGGGGAGUACGGUCGCAAGAUUAAAACUCAAAGAGUAGUAGCGNGNGAGAGCGACGACGACGACGAGGAGGAG
Molecule: ribosomal RNA, 590 nt
Filed under: uncultured bacterium
Lineage: Bacteria
Description: bacterial SSU rRNA
Rfam family: Bacterial small subunit ribosomal RNA
Source: RNAcentral